This 920-nucleotide ribosomal RNA is filed under the name uncultured Alphaproteobacteria bacterium. RNAcentral describes it as "bacterial SSU rRNA". It matches the Rfam family "Bacterial small subunit ribosomal RNA", at positions 482 to 1398 of the family's 1533-position model. The record is from RNAcentral. Lineage: Bacteria; Pseudomonadati; Pseudomonadota; Alphaproteobacteria.
CAGAAAAAGCUCCGGCUAACUCCCGUGCCAGCAGCCGCGGUAAUACGGGGGGGGGCAAGCGUUGUUCGGAAUUACUGGGCGUAAAGAGCGAGCAGGUGGUUCAUUAAGUCAAUUGUGAAAGCUCAAGGCUUAACCUUGAAAUUGCUUUUGAUACUGAUGGACUAGAGUUUGGGAGAGGAUAGUGGAAUUCUAAGUGUAGAAGUGAAAUUCGUAGAUAUUUAGAGGAACACCGAUAGCGAAGGCAACUAUCUGGCCCUUUACUGACGCUCAGAAGCGAAAGCUUGGGUAGCAAACAGGAUUAGAUACCCUGGUAGUCCAUGCUGUAAACGAUGAGUGCUAGAUGUUAGAAGUUUACUUCUAGUAUCGAAGCUAACGCGUUAAGCACUCCGCCUGGGGAGUACGGCCGCAAGGCUAAAACUCAAAUGAAUUGACGGGGACCCGCACAAGCAGUGGAGCAUGUGGUUUAAUUCGACGCUACGCGAAAAACCUUACCAGCUUUUGACAUGCUAAGUUUUGAGUUUAAGAGAUUAAAUUCUUCAGUUUGGCUGGGCUUAGCACAGGUGCUGCAUGGCUGUCGUCAGCUCGUGUCGUGAGAUGUUCGGUUAAGUCCGGCAACGAGCGCAACCCUCAUCUUCAGUUACUAACAGGUUAUGCUGAGGACCUUGGAGAAACUGCCGUUGGAAAAGCGGAGGAAGGCGAGGAUGACGUCAAGUCCUCAUGGCCCUUAUGGGCUGGGCUACACACGCGCUACAAUGGUAAUUACAAUAGGUCGCGAAAAGGCAACUUUGAGCUAAUCUUCAAAAAUUAUCUUAGUUCGGAUUGUUCUCUGCAACUCGAGAGCAUGAAGUUGGAAUUGCUAGUAAUCGUGGAUCAGCAUGCCACGGUGAAUACGUUCCCGGGUCUUGUACUCACCGCCCGUC